GAGGAAGGGCUGGUGACAUGAAGAGGGGUGACGUGACCUGUAGAUACUGAGGAAGUGCUGGUGACAGGAAGAGGGGUGGUGUGACCUGAGGAUGAUGAGGAAGGGAUGGUGACAGGAAGAGGGGUGGCGUGACCUGUGGAUGCUGAGGAAGUGUCGGUGACAGGAAGAGGGGUGGUGUCACCUGUGGAUACUGAGGAAAGGCUGGUGACAGGAAGAGGGGUGGCCUGACCUGUGGAUGCUGAGGAAGUGUCGGUGACAGGAAGAGGCGUGGCGUGAUCUGUGGACACUGAGGAAGCGUCGGUGACAGGAAGAGGGGUGGCGUGUCCUGUGGAUGCUGAGGAAGUGUCGGUGACAAGAAGAGGGGUGGCGUGACCUGUGGAUGCUGAGGAAGGGCUAGUGACAGGAAGAGGGGUGGCGUUGCUG
This 423-nucleotide long non-coding RNA is filed under the name Homo sapiens (human). Its description in RNAcentral is "HSALNT0317521". Lineage: Eukaryota; Metazoa; Chordata; Mammalia; Primates; Hominidae. The record is from RNAcentral.